Molecule: ribosomal RNA, 449 nt
Filed under: uncultured bacterium
Lineage: Bacteria
Description: partial 16S ribosomal RNA
Rfam family: Bacterial small subunit ribosomal RNA
Source: RNAcentral
GUCGAGAAUCUUUCACAAUGGGGGCAACCCUGAUGGAGCGACGCCGCGUGGAGGAUAAGGUCUUCGGAUUGUAAACUCCUGUCAUGCGUGAACAAGGUUGCUUGGAUAAUACCUGAGCAAAUUGAUGGUAGCGCAAGAGGAAGAGACGGCUAACUCUGUGCCAGCAGCCGCGGUAAUACAGAGGUCUCAAGCGUUGUUCGGAAUCACUGGGCGUAAAGGGUGCGUAGGUGGCGUGGCAAGUCAGAUGUGAAAGCCCGGGGCUCAACCUCGGAACUGCAUCCGAUACUGCCAUGCUAGAGUACUGGAGGGGUGACUAGAAUUCUCGGUGUAGCAGUGAAAUGCGUAGAUAUCGAGAGGAAUACCAAAGGCGUAGGCAGGUCACUGGACAGUUACUGACACUGAGGCACGAAGGCCAGGGGAGCGAACGGGAUUAGAUACCCUAGUAGUCC